GCACCUCGUCACCCUCACAACCUCACAGCAGACUGGAUUGGGGAAGAUGCCUGACACGGUGGAUGCAGUGGGUGGAUGCAGCAUCUAUCAGUUACCAGUUCUCUGAAGGCUGAGCUGGCUUUCUGGUGCCAUCUUGAAGGAGGAUGGAAUGUAGCUGAAAUCUAUGCCAGAGAGUAAAUGAAGUGGAAAACCUGUGCCUUCAGUCCUGGUGCACCUUGAAACAAAAAUGGAG
RNAcentral lists this long non-coding RNA (232 nucleotides) under Homo sapiens (human). RNAcentral describes it as "HSALNT0406909". Lineage: Eukaryota; Metazoa; Chordata; Mammalia; Primates; Hominidae. The record is from RNAcentral.